Molecule: long non-coding RNA, 678 nt
Filed under: Pan troglodytes (chimpanzee)
Lineage: Eukaryota; Metazoa; Chordata; Mammalia; Primates; Hominidae
Description: long non-coding RNA NONPTRT015583
Source: RNAcentral
GGGGGAAUGCUAAUGUGAGAAGAUCUUAAAGAUGGUGACUUUUUCCAGGCCCUUCAAGUUGUUUGCUGUGGUUGGGACAUAGGGAGUUCAUGAAAGACAGAGGUACUUGGAGCAAUACCCAGGGACAGGAACACAAGGGGUUUUUAAAUGCCCUCCUAAGGAAUGUUGACUUUAUUCUGCAGAUGAUGGGAGCCAUGAAAGGAUUGUGAGAAGGAAAAUGACAUAAUAAGCUUUCUAUUUUUAAAACGUCAGUGCCAUGUGGAAGGAACAAAGGAAGGAGUGAAGGCUGGAGAGGAAGGAGGCCAGGUAGCAAGAAGGUCAUUGCAAAAGUCUAGGUAAAAGACAUAAGGCAGCUUUGGUGGAAAUGAAGAGGAAACCCACUCUCAGGCAAGGGACUGAAACUCGCCAGAUUGCUACUCCCAGACAACGAGAAGACAGACCCCUCAUUUGUCGUGAUUACUUCCUUAUCUCUCCUUCAAUCCUUCCUGCAUGUAGCUACCUUCCUUCCCCCACCGUACAAACCCCCCAAGUCAGGGGGAUGAAUUUGAGACUCAUCUCCCAUUCUCCUUGUUGACAUCACCUGAACAAAACCUUUCUUUCCUGGCGAUACUCAUUGUCUCAGCGAUUGGCUUUCUGUGCAGUGAGCAAUGGGACCUAGACUGAAUGCCUGGUGCUCUG